UACGUAGGGUGCAAGCGCUAAUCGGAAUUACUGGGCGUAAAGCGUGCGCAGGCGGUUUUGUAAGUCUGUCGUGAAAUCCCCGGGCUCAACCUGGGAAUUGCGAUGGAGACUGCAAGGCUAGAAUCUGGCAGAGGGGGGUAGAAUUCCACGUGUAGCAGUGAAAUGCGUAGAGAUGUGGAGGAACACCGAUGGCGAAGGCAGCCCCCUGGGUCAAGAUUGACGCUCAUGCACGAAAGCGUGGGGAGCAAACAGG
Molecule: ribosomal RNA, 253 nt
Filed under: uncultured bacterium
Lineage: Bacteria
Description: partial 16S ribosomal RNA
Rfam family: Bacterial small subunit ribosomal RNA
Source: RNAcentral